RNAcentral lists this ribosomal RNA (497 nucleotides) under uncultured bacterium. Its description in RNAcentral is "partial 16S ribosomal RNA". It matches the Rfam family "Bacterial small subunit ribosomal RNA", at positions 28 to 507 of the family's 1533-position model. The record is from RNAcentral.
GAUGAACGCUGGCGGCGUGCCUAAUACAUGCAAGUCGAGCGAACGGACGAGAAGCUUGCUUCUCUGAUGUUAGCGGCGGACGGGUGAGUAACACGUGGAUAACCUACCUAUAAGACUGGGAUAACUUCGGGAAACCGGAGCUAAUACCGGAUGAUAUUUGGAACCGCAUGGUUCAAAAGUGAAAGACGGUCUUGCUGUCACUUAUAGAUGGAUCCGCGCUGCAUUAGCUAGUUGUUAAGGUAACGGCUUACCAAGGCAACGAUGCAUAGCCGACCUGAGAGGGUGAUCGGCCACACUGGAACUGAGACACGGUCCAGACACCUACGGGAGGCCGCAGUAGGGACUCUUACGCAAUGGGCGAAAGCCUGACGGAGCAACGCCGCGUGAGUGCUGAAGGUCUUCGGAUCGUAAAACUCUGUUAUUAGGGAAGAACAAAUGUGUAAGUAACUGUGCACAUCUUGACGGUACCUAAUCAGAAAGCCACGGCUAACUACGUG